This 478-nucleotide ribosomal RNA is filed under the name uncultured bacterium. Its description in RNAcentral is "bacterial SSU rRNA". It matches the Rfam family "Bacterial small subunit ribosomal RNA", at positions 355 to 850 of the family's 1533-position model. The record is from RNAcentral.
UGGGGAAUCUUGGACAAUGGGCGCAAGCCUGAUCCAGCCAUGCCGCGUGAGCGAUGAAGGCCUUAGGGUUGUAAAGCUCUUUCACCGGUGAAGAUAAUGACGGUAGCCGGAGAAGAAGCCCCGGCUAACUCCGUGCCAGCAGCCGCGGUAAUACGGAGGGGGCUAGCGUUGUUCGGAAUUACUGGGCGUAAAGCGCGCGUAGGCGGACCAGAAAGUUGGGGGGUGAAAUCCCGGGGCUCAACCCCGGAACUGCCUCCAAAACUAUUGGUCUAGAGUUCGAGAGAGGUGAGUGGAAUUCCAAGUGUAGAGGUGAAAUUCGUAGAUAUUUGGAGGAACACCAGUGGCGAAGGCGGCUCACUGGCUCGAUACUGACGCUGAGGUGCGAAAGUGUGGGGAGCAAACAGGAUUAGAUACCCUGGUAGUCCACACCGUAAACGAUGAAUGCCAGUCGUCGGGUAGCAUGCUAUUCGGUGACACA